GACGAACGCUGGCGGCGUGCUUAACACAUGCAAGUCGAACGGAAAGGCCCUGCUUUUGCGGGGUGCUCGAGUGGCGAACGGGUGAGUAACACGUGAGUAACCUGCCUUGGACUUUGGGAUAACUUCAGGAAACUGGGGCUAAUACCGGCGAGGAGCUCCUGCUGCAUGGUGGGGGUUGGAAAGUUUCGGCGGUUGGGGAUGGACUGCCGGCUUAUCAGCUGGUUGGUGGGGUAGUGGCUUACCAAGCCUUUGGAGGGUAGCCGGCCUGGGAGGGGGACCGGCGACAUUGGGCCUGAGGGAGGGAGCAGACUGGAACGGGAGGCAGCGGUGGGGAGUCUUGCACAAUGAGGGGGAGCGUGAUGAAGAAGCGCCGCGAGCGGGAUGAAGGCCUUCGGGUUGUGAACGGCAUUCGGCUGUGACGAAGCGGGAGUGACGGUAAUGGGUAAAGAAGCACCGGCUAACUACGUG
RNAcentral lists this ribosomal RNA (468 nucleotides) under uncultured bacterium. Its description in RNAcentral is "partial 16S ribosomal RNA". It matches the Rfam family "Bacterial small subunit ribosomal RNA", at positions 28 to 507 of the family's 1533-position model. The record is from RNAcentral.